GCAAGUCGAACGGUGAAGGAGGAGCUUGCUCCUCUGGAUCAGUGGCGAACGGGUGAGUAACACGUGAGUAACCUGCCCCAGACUCUGGGAUAAGCGUUGGAAACGACGUCUAAUACCGGAUACGAGCUUCAGCCGCAUGGCUAGGAGCUGGAAAGAACUUCGGUCUGGGAUGGACUCGCGGCCUAUCAGGUAGUUGGUGAGGUAAUGGCCCACCAAGCCUACGACGGGUAGCCGGCCUGAGAGGGUGACCGGCCACACUGGGACUGAGACACGGCCCAGACUCCUACGGGAGGCAGCAGUGGGGAAUAUUGCACAAUGGGCGCAAGCCUGAUGCAGCAACGCCGCGUGAGGGACGACGGCCUUCGGGUUGUAAACCUCUUUUAGUAGGGAAGAAGCGAAAGUGACGGUACCUGCAGAAAAAGCACCGGCUAACUACGUGCCAGCAGCCGCGGUAAUACGUAGGGUGCAAGCGUUAUCCGGAAUUAUUGGGCGUAAAGAGCUCGUAGGCGGUUUGUCGCGUCUGCUGUGAAAACUGGAGGCUCAACCUCCAGCCUGCAGUGGGUACGGGCAAACUAGAGUGCGGUAGGGGAGAUUGGAAUUCCUGGUGUAGCGGUGGAAUGCGCAGAUAUCAGGAGGAACACCGAUGGCGAAGGCAGAUCUCUGGGCCGUAACUGACGCUGAGGAGCGAAAGCAUGGGGAGCGAACAGGAUUAGAUACCCUGGUAGUCCAUGCCGUAAACGUUGGGCGCUAGAUGUGGGGACCAUUCCACGGUUUCCGUGUCGCAGCUAACGCAUUAAGC
RNAcentral lists this ribosomal RNA (799 nucleotides) under Salinibacterium sp. RNAcentral describes it as "bacterial SSU rRNA". It matches the Rfam family "Bacterial small subunit ribosomal RNA", at positions 57 to 865 of the family's 1533-position model. Lineage: Bacteria; Bacillati; Actinomycetota; Actinomycetes; Micrococcales; Microbacteriaceae. The record is from RNAcentral.